CCCAGAAGUCGUAACAGAGAUAUGAAUCAAAACCCAGAUGAGAGAAACUCGCAGAAAGAAAAGGGUGAAGGAAUAACAAACCUCGCAGGCUGCAGUGACUAAUUGAUUGAGGAAAAAACGAAGAAAAGAAAAAUACCCAGAAGUCGUACCAGAGAUAUGAAUCAAAACCCAGAUGAGAGAAACUCAUAGAAAGAGUAAAGAUUGCAAAUUUCAGAGGUUAAUAAGCAAGUUCAGCUUUUAGCUGUAAAACAGAGGAAGCCGAAGAGGAGUCAAAGAGGAAAUAAAGAGUGUUUUGCCAGUCCUCAGCCGCUGUGCAGAUUUGCCUAGUUAUCCAUGAUCCGUUUAAUAUCAGGCGGCUAAGGUUCUUCGCCAUGUUGAUCGGAUUCAUGGGACGCUCUGCAAUUUGCUUGAAUAGAAGGGUUUCUGCUAGGGCUUUUGCGGUACUACUGGAAUUGAACUCAACCAAACGCAAAAAGUAACACAAAUUGCAAAAGCGGUAGUACCUCUGCUCUCAAGAGAUCAGUCCACGGUUUUCGGCGAAACUCAGCAAAUCGACGGAAAAAGUAACACAAAUUGCCAAAAGUGGUAGUACCUCUGCUCUCAAGAGAUCAGUCCACGGUCUUCGGCGAAACUCAGCAAAUCGAC
RNAcentral lists this long non-coding RNA (645 nucleotides) under Manihot esculenta (cassava). RNAcentral's name for it is "long non-coding RNA (MESC_LNC011827)". The record is from RNAcentral. Lineage: Eukaryota; Viridiplantae; Streptophyta; Magnoliopsida; Malpighiales; Euphorbiaceae.